RNAcentral lists this ribosomal RNA (468 nucleotides) under uncultured bacterium. Its description in RNAcentral is "partial 16S ribosomal RNA". It matches the Rfam family "Bacterial small subunit ribosomal RNA", at positions 28 to 507 of the family's 1533-position model. The record is from RNAcentral.
GACGAACGCUGGCGGCGUGCUUAACACAUGCAAGUCGAACGCAAAGGCCCUGCUUUUGUGGGGUGCUCGAGUGGCGAACGGGUGAGUAACACGUGAGUAACCUGCCCUUGACUUUGGGAUAACUUCAGGAAACUGGGGCUAAUACCGGAUAGGAGCUCCUGCCGCAUGGUGGGGGUUGGAAAGUUUCGGCGGUUGGGGAUGGACUCGCGGCUUAUCAGCUUGUUGGUGGGGUAGUGGCUUACCAAGGCUUUGACGGGUAGCCGGCCUGAGAGGGUGACCGGCCACAUUGGGACUGAGAUACGGCCCAGACUCCUACGGGAGGCAGCAGUGGGGAAUAUUGCACAAUGGGCGGAAGCCUGAUGCAGCAACGCCGCGUGCGGGAUGACGGCCUUCGGGUUGUAAACCGCUUUCGCCUGUGACGAAGCGUGAGUGACGGUAAUGGGUAAAGAAGCACCGGCUAACUACGUG